GUCUAACCUGCCCAAUGAGGAUUUAAAUGGCCGCAGUAUUUUGACUGUGCAAAGGUAGCAUAAUUAUUAGUUUUUUAAUUGAAAGCUUGUAUGAAUGGUUGGACGAGAUAAAAUCUGUCUCUAUUUAAUUAAAAGUAGAAUUUAACUUUUGAGUCAAAAGGCUUAAAUGAUUAUAAAAGACGAGAAGACCCUAUAGAUCUUUAUUUAAUUAGUACUUUAAUAAUUUAGGAUUUUUUUAGUUUAAAGUUUUAAUUAAAUUUUAUUGGGGUAAUAUAAAGAUUAAAUAAAUUCUUUUUAUUUAUUACAUUAAUUUAUGAAUAUAUGAUCCAAUAUUAUUGAUUAUAAGAUUAAGUUACCUUAGGGAUAACAGCGUAAUUUUUUUGGAGAGCUCAUAUCGAUAAAAAAGUUUGCGACCUCGAUGUUGGAUUAAAAAUUAGCUUGGGUGCAGAAGCUCAAGAUUUUGGUCUGUUCGACCAUUAAAUUUUUACAUGAUCUGAGUUCAGACCGGCGUAAGCCAGGUCGGUUUCUAUCUUUAUUUAAAUAAAAUAUUUUAGUACGAAAGGACCAAAUAUUUAAUAUAUUUAUAUUUAAUUUUUGAACAAUAUUAUUACUUUGGCAGAUUAGUGCAAUGAAUUUAGAAUUCAUGAAUGUAAAUUUUUUACAAGUAAUACUUGUAUUUAGGAGACUCAAUUUCUAUAGUAUUAUGUAUAUUAAUUCUUGUAAUUUGUGUGUUAGUUGGGGUAGCUUUUUUGACAUUAUUAGAGCGCAAGGUUUUAGGUUAUAUUCAGAUUCGUAAGGGCCCAAACAAGGUGGGAUU
RNAcentral lists this ribosomal RNA (817 nucleotides) under Cicindela sommeri. RNAcentral describes it as "partial large subunit ribosomal RNA". The stretch from base 1 to 557 matches the Rfam family "Bacterial large subunit ribosomal RNA", at positions 1852 to 2925 of the family's 2925-position model. Lineage: Eukaryota; Metazoa; Arthropoda; Insecta; Coleoptera; Carabidae. The record is from RNAcentral.